This 1022-nucleotide long non-coding RNA is filed under the name Homo sapiens (human). RNAcentral describes it as "HSALNT0150700". Lineage: Eukaryota; Metazoa; Chordata; Mammalia; Primates; Hominidae. The record is from RNAcentral.
AUUAACAUUAACUUACCAUCUGACUUGCUUUGGCCCGUGGAAUGUGAUCAGAAUAUAUGCUAUGCCUGAGUUGAUGCUUUAUGAGUCAUUGCCUUCUUCCACCAUUUUUCUUUCCUUUCCCCAACAAAGAUUAUUUGCCUCACAUAAGGGCUGCUCCCUUAGCUUGGAACCCAGGAUUAAGAAGGUAUACAGUAUAGAACCAUAGCCAAACCAAAGAUGACAGGUUUUGUGAUUCAGGAGGUUUGAAAUGGACCGCAGAAAUGUCUACUUCAGCACAUCUCCAUACCUAGGAUCCUAAUGACAGUGACCCAUGGGCCAUGCUUAAGAAACACAACUUUAGUUUUUCGACUAUAACUCACCGGGAGGAACGUUAUCAGGCGCCAAAAGCCUUUUAAAACAGAGAACUCUGCUCGUGGAGUCACAUAUUCUGUUUUAUCUGUACAAGCCACCCAAGUCAUUUCACAGACCAGCCGAAAGAAGCCUCCCUGGGGAUGAGCUAACGAGGAGGAUUAGAUACAACUGUUCUCUGGCCAGGUGUCAAGACCCUGUUGGCAGAGGAACGGCAGAGACAUCUUGUGAAUUAUCUCCCAGUCACUGAUGCAAACCACUCAGAAUAAAUCAGGAUUGAAGAUUGAUUUCUACAAAAUUGCUUUAUUACUCAGGUAAAAUUUAUUGAUCUGUUAUAGAAAGAAAAAAAACAUAAUCGAAAGAGGAUAGUCCAUGCCUAAAUAGCAAACAUAAAACCUCCCAUAAAUCCUUUCAUUUCAGAUAUUUGAUAUUUAGUGCAGAAUAUGUUCUUGGGGAAGUUCAUCUUUGUGUAAAUUAUGUUGUCUGGGAGGAAACUUACAGAACUCAGGCAUCUUAAAACCCAUGAGUGAGUUAUUAAAAUAUACACUGAUAAGUAUGGUGACCCUAAUUUCCAAGCCCUAAAUCAGGACACAUAGUCACGAAAUGGUUUUUCCCCCUCUCUUCUUUAAAAAAUUAUUCUGGUAAUAGUUUUGCCCAUGAAAACAUUAAAUCAG